This 4439-nucleotide small RNA is filed under the name Pongo abelii (Sumatran orangutan). Its description in RNAcentral is "retained intron". The record is from RNAcentral. Lineage: Eukaryota; Metazoa; Chordata; Mammalia; Primates; Hominidae.
ACGCGCAGCCAGGCCCCAGCCUGUUGGCCAAGGUGGGAUCAACCGCAGGAAGGAACCAGCUGCAGCUGGGCGUGGGUGCCUUUCCCGUGGAAAGCCGCUGGCAGGGAGUCUACAGCCCCUUCCGGGACUUUGUGGGUGCUGGUUGCCCCAGGGACCUGCAGGAGGCCCUGCUGGGCUUCGACGUGCAGAGCUCCAGGGAGCUGCGUAGGUCUCAGGAUUACCUGUGUUGUGAGAGGUGAGGCCGGCUGUGUGCGCAUGCACAGGUCAGGGUGGGCCGGGGAGGGCUUCCUGGGGGGAGGGGGCUGGGCCCAGGUGUGGGUGAGGGACGCUGUGCGUGGUGCCCAGGACCCACCCCGAGGACAGUGUGGGCGGUAUGGAAGACAUCCUGGAGGAGCUGCUGCAGCACCGGGAGCCCAAGGCCCUGCAGCCAUACCUCAGGAAGGCUCUGAGCAACUCACUGCACCCCCUGGGAAAGCUGCUCCGGACACUGAUGCUGACCUUCCAGGCUACCUACGCAGGUGUCGGGGCCAAUAAGCACCUGCAGGAGCUGGCCCAGGAGGAGGUGAAGCAGCAUGCCCAGGAACUCUGGGCUGCCUACAGGCUGAGCUUGGCCCUGGACUCGGAACACACCUGCAGUCCCAGGUUGGGCUGUGACCCCAUGAAACACUGCAAAUAGAAGCCUUAGAUACUAUAGUUCCUUCUGCUGCUGGAUUCUCAGGAUAACAUCCUGGAGCUCCAGCCUUCUAACUUCUGUGGUUUGAGAGGAUGAACCCUGCAGGCCAUGUCCACAGUUCUGAGAGGCCACCUGCUCUUGCCUUUGUUGACUGGUGGUGGAGCUCCAGUUCUGUGGGAAGUGGCAGCCACACCAUUUCUCUCUCAUUGACUCACAGGGGUCUGCUGCGAGUUGCCUUAGAGCACAAGGGCCAGGCCCUGGAGGAGGAUGAAGACACAGAGACAAGGUGACUGGCGCAGGUCUCCUUGGGGCCUGCCGAGUCCAGGGAGGCCUCAUGCGCCUGCUCCUAGGACCUCCCUUGGGAAAAGAGGUGCUUCUGGGGAAGUGCUGGGCAUUCACUCUAUUGACCAAGCAUUGUGCAUUGAUCGUUUGUGGAUUAGAAUGACCCAUGACCUCUGUUCUGUGAGGAACCAGGGAUGGGGCACUGCUACAAUGCAUUGAAUGCAUCUUUGUUCUAAAUGUAUGAUCCCAAUCUCAUCUUUCGCAUGCAGAAGGUGAGUAGCUUCCCGAGGCACCCUCCUCUCCCUGCACACAGAUGGGGAAACCGAGGGCUGGCAGGGAUGAGCCUGAGGUUAUACAGGAGUUAGGUGGGUCAUGAAAUCUGUCUCCCCCAGUCCCUGGAGCAAACCUUAUAAUUCGCCUUUAGAUUCCAGACCUGAAAGUGUUCCUGAUCAGAGAGGCAUUCCUGUCACUGCAUUGCAGGAGGCAAGGGAAAUGGAGUUAGACAUUAGGGAGAACUCCCCGCCCGGAGUCCUAGCACAGCAAACCAGGAGGUGGAACUGAAUCAGCCUGGAAUGGCUGCUGAGAGCUUGGCUGCAAGUUGCUGGUCCAUCUGGGGCCCUGGUUUUGCUUUCAGUCCAAUGGGGAUCCAACUCCUGCCCCACCUGCCAUCUUGGUUGUCAAAGUCAAAGGAGGGAAUGAAGUUAUGAAUUGAAUUGGGCAAAUGAUGAGUGAGAACAGGCUUGGAAAAGGUUUUCUGGGGAGGAGGAGGCUGGAGGCUGGGACACUGUUUGUUGUGGAACUAGGAGCUCUUUGAGAGGAGACUCCAAGUAGUAAUCCCAGACCCCACCUUGCUCAUCCCAACCUGUUCUGGUCUCUCCAUCAGGGACCUCCAGGUGCAUGGAUUGGUGUUGCCCCUCAUGCUGCCCAGCUUCUACUCAGAGCUCUUCACGCUCUACCUGCUGCUUCAUGAGCGGGAGGACAGCUUCUACAGCCAGGGCAUUGCCAACUUGAGCCUCUUUCCCGAUACCCAACUGCUUGAGUUCCUGGAUGUGCAGAAGCACUUGUGGCCCCUCAAGGACCUCACGCUGACGAGCAAUCAGAGGUACUCCCUGGUCAGGGACAAGUGUUUCCUGUCAGCCACCGAGUGCCUGCAGAAGAUCAUGACCACGGUGGACCCACGGGAGAAGCUGGAGGUGCUGGAGAGGACAUACGGGGAAAUUGAGGGCACAGUGUCACGGGUGCUGGGCCGGGAGUACAAGCUGCCCAUGGACGACCUGCUGCCGCUUCUCAUCUACGUGGUGUCACGCGCCCGAAUUCAGCACCUGGGAGCCGAGAUCCAUCUGAUCCGUGACAUGAUGGACCCCAACCACACAGGAGGCCUGUAUGACUUCUUGCUCACUGCCCUGGAGUCCUGUUACGAGCACAUCCAGAAAGAAGACAUGAGGCUGCACCGCUUACCUGGCCACUGGCACUCCAGAGAGCUCUGGUAGCUUGGCCUUUCCUGGACAGACUGCAGAGCUGAGCGGGGCACUGCCGGCCCGUCCCUCAUUACCCAAGGCAAGGGGCAGGACAGGCCCUUGGAAGCAGCUCUUGGAGGAGAUGAGCAUUUUGUUUUGCACAGGAAGAUGCUGCUGCUGCCCUGACUGGGAUGAGAGUGAGGGGUGAUGGGUGUGGCCCUGGACAUGGUGGUUUUCCCUUGGCCACUAGCCCAUCUCCAAUGACCCCUUAAUCUGCAGCAGCUCACAGGCUGAGGGUGAGGAGCCCCUGGCUUCUCUUAGCCUGAGCCUUUCUCCCAAGUUCCGGAGCCUCUCUGGGCCUCAGUGCUGCCAUCUGUACAAUGGUGGAGUGAGUACGCUGUAAAGGACCUUCCAUCCAUUUUGCUGAAUUCCAGGGUCCUUUUCGAAGACUGACUUUAGUCUGCUGGGCUGUACUGACCUCUGGCAGGCUCUAAGCCUCGCUGGGUAUGCAGUCAACAGAAUAGGCCUGGAGGUCCGUGAACUGCAGUCCAUGUACCCAUGACGUAAACGGCAGCACUGGAACAAGCUGGGGCGGGGGAUGGGUAAACCCUCACUGCCAGCAGGCCCCAAGUGGCUUGUAAAUCAUUCUCCUGUGACAUCUGUAGGCCUGCGUGGGGACAACAGGGGCACAUGACAUCUGCCUGGGCCCUGACCAAUAAACCCUCAGACCCAGGACCCUGCUGUAGUUGGGGAGCAGGAGUACCUUUGGGAGGGGAGGACUUUAUUUAAACUAGUGGUUCUAGGGUGGGACCAAGAGAGGCAGGAGCUGGGUCUUGGGGCAGCUUUAUUCCUGCUGGGCCUCAGUUUCUCUUCCCCACACAGUUUCUCUUCUGUCACAUUGUGCCAGGUGACAUGCACGGUCUCCCUCUGCCCUAGCAGGAGAUGCAUGAUGACAGGCAGUGUGAUGUGUUCUGAAAGGGUCCAGGGCAAAGCGUAAGGAGAGGGUGGAUUUGUGCAGGGUGCAGCUCUGGAGAAGAAGCUGGAUCACUCUUGGUCCCAUUCCCUAGGCCCUGAGCAAGUCAGGCUCCUGGCUCUGGGUGUGGCUCCCCCAAAUGAAGUACUGACUUCAGCCUGUGAGGGGAGGGUUGAGGGAGGCUCUGGAAAGCCCAGCCACACCUGAGUCCCCGGCAGUAGCCUUGGGGCAGAGGGCAGCUGCAGAAUCCCAGAGAUGAUGUGAGCAGUGGGCAGAGAGAGCCUUGGUGCCUCUGUUUGCCACCACCUCCCCAGGAAGGAGGGACAGCAUUUCUCUGGCUGGUUCUACUAAGUGUGCCAGCCCAAAUGCAGGGCACGGGCUCUGGUUCUGCCAAGAGCCUGCAACACUCCCAGGAAGGGGGUGGAACUGAGGAAGAGCGAGGAUAUGCAGGGUGCACAGGCACUCAUGCUUACCGGGACUGGGGCAGCUCACUAGGAUUCUAUCCUUUUCAAUCGGCAUCAGCUAGCUCUUGUCCCCUGACAAGUGAGGACAGCCUGACCCUGGCCUCAAAUGCAGCCAUCCCUGAGUUCAUGCGAUGCUGACGGGACCCCAGCACACUUCCCUGCCUCCUUUGAGAUCUGCGAGCCCUUGCUGCAGUUCAGAUUCAACAAGGCCCUCUGCCCACCCUCUCACUAGGCCUCACUCAACACCAGUGGAACUGGAGCCUCUGGCUGGGCACAGUGGCUCACUUUGGGAGGCUGAGACAGGAAGACUGCCAGAACCUGAGGGUUCAAGACCAGCCUAGGCAACAUAGUGAGACCCUGUCUCUACAAAUAUAAAAUAAAAUAAUUAGCUGGGUGUGUUGGUGUGUGCCUGUGGUCCCAGCUACUCGGGAGGCUGAGGUGGGAAGAUCCCUGAGCCUGGAAGGUUGAGGUUGCAGUGAGUGGAGAUUGCACCACUACACUCAAUCCUGGGUGACAAAAUGAAACCCUGCCUCAAAAAUAAAAAUAAAAAUAAAAAUAAAAUAAAUAAAUAAAAAAGAGCAUCUGGACAG